ACACAGCUAAAAUAAGGCCUUCACCAUUUUCCUCAUUCUUCUUCUUCAUCGUGAACCCUAUCUUGACCAUACACACAGAAAAAACAAAGAAAAAUACAGACCAGUUUCUUCUUCCCAAACCAUCAGCCCUUCACUCCCUACCAUCAAAAAACAGCCACGCACUGCCAGUUAGCUCCACCUCACUAGCAGCCAUGGAAAGCAAUAGCUGAAAUAAACAUGGCCUUCUAUCUAGCCAAAAAAUGUGACCCUCUCUCUCUCUCUCUCUCUCUCUCUCUCUUUCAAAGCAAGUGCUUAGAAAAGCAGCAAAUCCUCGGCCAUGGCACCCACCUUUCCAACAACAGCAGCAAGUUACAGCUUCACCUUUCUUCAGCGUCUCUCUCAUCUUCUCAAGUAGCAGCGGUCGUGUUCCUCAACCACUCCAGUAGCUUCAACCGUAUCUCUUCAGUCACCAGAUGAAAGUAAUGUCAAUCAUGUAAAUAAUUAAAUAAUUUUUUUUUAAACAUAUCAAGGAAG
This 513-nucleotide long non-coding RNA is filed under the name Populus trichocarpa (black cottonwood). Its description in RNAcentral is "long non-coding RNA (PTRI_LNC002760)". The record is from RNAcentral. Lineage: Eukaryota; Viridiplantae; Streptophyta; Magnoliopsida; Malpighiales; Salicaceae.